AAAUUUCUGUCACUAGGGCAAGGGACAAGUUAUCCAAAAGUUGAUGCAUUCCCAUAACUUUGUCAGAGGAGUUUCAUGAUUUUCCUCUUCAACUUUGUCUUGGUUUGAUGGAGGUGGUUCACCAAACUUCACCUCUAAUGCUUCUGGAUUUGAAGAAUGUGAAGCUGAUGCCACUGCUUUCAACUGUUGUUCCUCUAUGGAACCAUUAUCAAUGCUAUUAACAUCAGCGCUGUUGAAUCCCUGAAAUUUUUUAUAUCAACCACGCAUGUUCGUGACUCUGAAAAUGGUUUGAAAUAUCCUCAAACUCUCUCUACAAAAAAAAUAGAGUUACCAGUAGAGAAGAAAAUUAAAACUGAACAUCUUGAUACAGGAAAGAAGAGCAGAAAUAUACCUGAAUAUGAGGCACUGGGCUU
RNAcentral lists this long non-coding RNA (413 nucleotides) under Panax ginseng (ginseng). RNAcentral's name for it is "long non-coding RNA (PGIN_LNC000368)". The record is from RNAcentral. Lineage: Eukaryota; Viridiplantae; Streptophyta; Magnoliopsida; Apiales; Araliaceae.